Triticum aestivum (bread wheat) is the source of this 170-nucleotide non-coding RNA. The record is from Rfam. Lineage: Eukaryota; Viridiplantae; Streptophyta; Magnoliopsida; Poales; Poaceae.
AUACUUUUCUUGGCAUCUUGGCUAAGAUCAAAUGUAGUAUCUGUUCUUAUAAGUUUAGUAUCUGAUAUACAUGGGUUUAAUUUAAUUUCUUGGCCAAAAAAUGUAGCUUGCUGCAUGGGUCCUCGUUUGUUGUCCAAGCGUUGCACUAUUGUUUGGAACAGACACACCAA